GUUCACGUUGAAGUCUCUGUUGAGUCAAUCAUCUGUUCUUUGAUUAGAGUUAAUAUCAACUAUUUUUGCUUAAUAAAGGACGAAAAUUAAUCACAGAAAAUAAUUAAAUAAAAUGUUAACAUUUGAAAAGUAAAUUAUGAUUUAAAACCAUUUUGGUUUUCAUAUCUUUAAGUAACUCUUUUCAUUAAAGACAAGAUUAGGAUACUUUCCCUGACUAUUACGUAUUAACAAGUCACAUUGUUUUUCCCUCUAAAUUUUUUCCUUAACCCACACAGUGCUUUAACCAUAUGUAAGUCAACUCUUUUCACCUAAUCAACUCUAAUUCAGCUUACUCUAGAAAGAUUACUUUUAUUAGUUUCGUGUUUAAUGAACGUCUAUUACAGUGUUUUAUCCAUUUAGGUCCACAAUUUUGAAACCUGAUUCACCAACCUACGGACAACUAAUAGCAACAAUAAUUGGUCUCCAUGAUAUCAACUAAUCUGGAAGUCGAAUUUAGUUAACAAGCAAUUGUGAUUCUCAAAAUCAAAUCUUAUUGAUUUUCCUGGACUUACACAGCGCAGCAAGAAGCUUUUUUUUCUUCUUGUUAGCUCAUUAUCAUUUGUUGAUGAUAACUUGGUAUGAAAAUCGAUGGUAGAUUAUUUUUAUUAUACUGAUCGUAUACAGAGAUGGGAAUAAUGAUAACAAUAUUUGAUGGUUAUGGCAAAAGUACAAUGGCGUUCCCAGUUUUAUCCUUGUUUUCCUUUACUUUCACCAUGAUGAUCUACUUUGUUGUUAUCAUCAUCAGUUCAUCAUUCAUUUUUAUCAAAAUCAUAUUUCCAUUUAAGCUUUUAGCAGGGAUCAAUGCUACUAAAUCUCAUUCAGUUCCUAACUCUCAGUUAAUUAAGUCAGUAGAGAAAAUGUGAGAGAUGAGUAAACAUUAUUAUUUACUCUAAGAAGUUAAAGUAAAGGGAAAACAAAAAAAAAUAUAUAUAUUGGUCGAACCAAUUCUCUUGCAAGUGUAACCAUCUUAGAGUGAAGAUAAAGAGAUGGGAAUUGAUGAUGAUGAUGAUUCUUGAUCAACCCAUGGAAACAACCUAUCGGAUGGUUGAUCAACACAUCAGUAUCAUCUUAAUCUUUUGCCAUUAUCCUCACAUGAUAGUUUUACUAACCCAUGAAUGAUAAAAGUUUGUUAAAAGGAUGUGAACCUCUAUUCUCUCAUGAUAAUCAAAUUGGACGGAGUACAGUAAAAAAAGAAAAAUGGUUAGAUUUGAAUAACAAGAUAAUAACAAUCAAUUGAUGCAGAUCAAUGUAGAUGAGAAGGAAACAAUUGGAAAAGUCUUGUUAUUCAAUACCUAUUCAAUUGUUGACAAUAGAAGGAACAAACUGCUGAUCACUAUAAAAGCUAUUAAAUCAAUCAAUCAAUUAAUAUUAAUGAAAAUUACAGUUCAAUUGGUAAGGUGAUUAAUAAAUUACCAUCAAUAAUUAUGCUCUUGGAGUCAUAUAAUACCAUUCAACUGAGCUAGGAGAAAUGUGUGAUGAAAGUCGAUAAUAAUUAUGGUAAAAACUCAGGGUAACCAAUGAAAGGCUCAAACAGACUGAAACUAAUGAUGAUCAUUUUGGAUAAUUUUCUGGAUAUUACAAAAAAGUCACGGUGUAAGGUCAUCAUAAUAAGCAACAUCUAUCGAGGCAACAUUUUAAUCUAUUGGGAGACUGAUAAAUUGCAAUAAUUUAUCUUCCAUGUGUAUGGAUGGCUACAGAGAACGAAAACAAGGCAAACUUCAAUAUAAUCAGUUGAUUAUUAUUGAUUUGACUUUUUUUUAUCUGAUCCCAGUUAUCCUCUGAAGCGACAAAGUCGAACUCAAAAUGAAAUGGUUUCAAAAUAUCAACAUUACUCUUACAUUUUCAUCAUUAUUCAGUAUAAGGUCGUGAGUUACUGCAUUUUUUCACCGUACAAAGAAACCUAUUUUUGUUUAUCAACUGGAAUCACUUGGAGGCAAAAUUAACAUCACAAUUUGAUUAUGACAAAUUCAGUAACAGGAAAACAAAAUUACAAAAAAUAAUAUUUUUUCUUUUUUCUCCUUUUUUCAAUUUUUUCCCUGCAAACAUCACAGAAACAUGGAGUAAACAAAAGAGCUUGUUAAGACGAACAAAAUAAAUUAGUAUUUUUCCCUCUGUUUGUUUGCUGUAUAAAAGAAUGUGUUUUACAUUAAAAGAAACAGAAUUGAAAUCAAUGUAACGAUGCAAGUAAAUCCAAAUAAUGGAUUUGUUUACUAAAUGUUACAGAAAGAGAAAAGGAUGAAGAUGAAGAGGAAGAUGAGAAGAUGCGAUGAAACUUUUUCAUUCUCAUUUUACAGUUAAAAAAGGUUUGGUCUGGAUUCAUGAUGUCAAUCCAUCCAUCCUGAAAUAGGCUUCAACUGAUAUCAUUUAACUUUAAUAGAUACAUGUGCUGUGAAUAUCAUUUACAAAGCAAAUUUAUCUAAAUCAAUGCCUUUUCCAUUUGUUCAUUUUUACCCUGUUUCUCUUUCAAUUGACUAUGUUAUGACUAUCAAUUCUGUUGGCAAGUUGAAGCAAAAUCAUCAAAAAUGAUUGCCAAAGAAUCCAGCUUAACUUUCCAAUAACAGCAUCCAAAUUUUGGUGGCAGUGACAUUAUUUUUCCCAUAUCCUUUGUUACCAUUCAAUAUCUCAUAUAUUAUGAUACAAUUGUUG
This is a non-coding RNA of Tetranychus urticae (two-spotted spider mite), 2685 nucleotides long. The record is from RefSeq and is a predicted model, not a curated record. Lineage: Eukaryota; Metazoa; Arthropoda; Arachnida; Trombidiformes; Tetranychidae.